GUUUGAUCCUGGCUCAGGAUGAACGCUAGCGACAGGCUUANCANUUGNAAGUCGAGGGGCAGCGGGGGAGUAAGCUUGCUUACUUCUGCCGGCGACCGGCGCACGGGUGAGUAACACGUAUGCAACCUGCCCGUCACAGGGGGAUAAUCGGAAGAAAUUCCGUCUAAUACCGCGUGACAACACCGAGAGGCAUCUUUUGGUGUUCAAAGGAAGCAAUUCCGGUGACGGAUGGGCAUGCGUCGCAUUAGCUAGUCGGCGGGGUAACGGCCCACCGAGGCGACGAUGCGUAGGGGUUCUGAGAGGAAGGCCCCCCACACUGGUACUGAGACACGGACCAGACUCCUACGGGAGGCAGCAGUGAGGAAUAUUGGUCAAUGGGCUAAGGCCUGAACCAGCCAAGUCGCGUGAGGGAAGACGGUCCUAUGGAUUGUAAACCUCUUUUGUCGGGGAGCAACGAGGCCACGUGUGGCCGAAGUGAGAGUACCCGAAGAAAAAGCAUCGGCUAACUCCGUGCCAGCAGCCGCGGUAAUACGGAGGAUGCGAGCGUUAUCCGGAUUUAUUGGGUUUAAAGGGUGCGUAGGCGGAACAUUAAGUCAGCGGGUAAAAUCGAGGGGGCUCAACCCCCUUUAAGCCGUUGAAAACUGGGUGAUCNUUGAGUNGGGCGAGAAGUAUGCGGAAUGCGUGGUGUAGCGGUGAAAUGCAUAGAUAUCACGCAGAACUCCGAUUUGCGAAGGCAGCAUACCGGCGCCCGACUGACGCUGAGGCACGAAAGCGUGGGGAUCGAACAGGAUUAGAUACCCCUGGUAGUCCACGCAGUAAACGAUGAAUACUAACUGUCCGGGUUCGAGCGAGAUCUGGGUGGUAAAGCGAAAGCGUUAAGUAUUCCACCUGGGGAGUACGCCGGCAACGGUGAAACUCAAAGGAAUUUGACGGGGGGGCCCGCACAAGCGGAAGGAACAUUGUNGGUUUAAUUCCNAUGAUACGCGAGGNAACCUUACCNNGGGCUCAAACGCAGACUGGCACACGGUGAAAGCCGUAUUUCCCACGGGACAGACUGCGAGGUGCUGCAUGGUUGUCGUCAGCUCGUGCCGUGAGGUGUCGGCUUAAGUGCCAUAACGAGCGCAACCCCUACCGACAGUUGCUAACAAGUAACGUUGAGGACUCUGUCGGGACUGCCGGCGCAAGCUGAGAGGAAGGCGGGGAUGACGUCAAAUCAGCACGGCCCUUACGUCCGGGGCGACACACGUGUUACAAUGGCAGGUACAGCGGGAAGCCAUAUGGCGACAUAGAGCGGAACCCGAAAACCUGUCUCAGUUCGGAUUGGAGUCUGCAACCCGACUCCAUGAAGCUGGAUUCGCUAGUAAUCGCGCAUCAGCCACGGCGCGGUGAAUACGUUCCCGGGCCUUGUACACACCGCCCGUCAAGCCAUGGGAGCCGGGGGUACCUGAAGUGCGUGACCGCAAGGAGCUUNNAUGAGGUAAAACCGGUGACUGGGGCUAAGUCGUAACAAGGUAAC
RNAcentral lists this ribosomal RNA (1516 nucleotides) under uncultured bacterium. RNAcentral describes it as "bacterial SSU rRNA". It matches the Rfam family "Bacterial small subunit ribosomal RNA". The record is from RNAcentral.